RNAcentral lists this long non-coding RNA (573 nucleotides) under Homo sapiens (human). RNAcentral describes it as "non-protein coding lnc-NMT1-1:1". Lineage: Eukaryota; Metazoa; Chordata; Mammalia; Primates; Hominidae. The record is from RNAcentral.
UCACCAGUGCGAUUCUGGAUAAAGCCACUGAAAAUUCGAACCAGGAAAUGGAACCCCACCACUGUUGGUCCAAUUUUCACACACGUGAGAAUCCCUGGCAAAGGGAGCAGAACUGAACCGGCUUUACCAAACCGCCAGCGAACUUGACAAUUGUAUUGCGAUGGCGUGGGCUGCGUGACGUCACCUCCGGUCGUGUCUCUGGUCUCCGUGUUUUCCAGUUAAUUACAUCCUCAUGCAGCCUUCUGAUGGCCUGGCCCACCUUCCCCAGAACCAGGGGAGGCCUGAGGCUUCAGUUUUACUCUGCUGCAAAAUGAAGGCGGGCCUGCAAGCCGACUACACCUACGGAGGCUGUUGAGGACAAUUUCAUUCCAUUAAAUUAAAAAAUACUGACUGGCUGGCAGGCAGGUGCCAUGUCUGGGAACAGGGACGGGGGAGCUUCACCUUUUUGUCUUGGCUUUUCUUUGGGCUGUGGGGGGGCAUCCAUUUCCAGGGUCGGGGAGGAAAUACCAAAUGCAUUGUUGUUCUGCUCAAUACAUCUCACUUGUUUCUAAUAAAGAAAGCAGCUGAACAAAA